Molecule: ribosomal RNA, 394 nt
Filed under: uncultured Allobrachymonas sp.
Lineage: Bacteria; Pseudomonadati; Pseudomonadota; Betaproteobacteria; Burkholderiales; Comamonadaceae
Description: bacterial SSU rRNA
Rfam family: Bacterial small subunit ribosomal RNA
Source: RNAcentral
GACAUGGCAGGAAUCCCGAAGAGAUUGGGAGUGCUCGAAGAGAACCUGCACACAGGUGCUGCAUGGCUGUCGUCAGCUCGUGUCGUGAGAUGUUGGGUUAAGUCCCGCAACGAGCGCAACCCUUGCCAUUAGUUGCUACGAAAGGGCACUCUAAUGGGACUGCCGGUGACAAACCGGAGGAAGGUGGGGAGUGACGUCAAGUCCUCAUGGCCCUUAUAGGUGGGGCUACACACGUCAUACAAUGGCCGGUACAGAGGGUAGCCAACCCGCGAGGGGGAGCCAAUCCCACAAAGCCGGUCGUAGUCCGGAUCGCAGUCUGCAACUCGACUGCGUGAAGUCGGAAUCGCUAGUAAUCGUGGAUCAGCAUGUCACGGUGAAUACGUUCCCGGGUCUU